AAUGCAUCAACAGCAAAACAGAUUAGCACACUAGAGAGGGAGAUGGAUUAAUAAAAUCAUUCGGUUCUGUUUGGAGUUUGCUAGUAUAAUAUAUUCUUGGUUCUGUUUGGAGUUUGCUAUAAUAUAUUCUUUCUUGACGAAUUAUCUCCAUUCGUAAGCGUGCGUUAUCCUCGCCUCAACUAAUAUUGGAAUUACAGUUCUUCUGUCCAGAAUAGUAGCUUGGCUAUCCCUUUGUCUUUUGCUCUGCCGAAUAAAACAGCAACUGCAGUUGUUACACAAUUUUUCUAAAAAAAUCUUAGUCCAAAUUCCGAAACAAUUCAUUCUACUACUUGGGACCUGGGAGUGGAAAAGCAGUUCUGACUGAAUAAUUCAUACGCGUGAUAAAUUGGGAUAUUGAGAGCCGUAUAGCGAAUCAGAAUUUUGAUAUAACGUACUGAAUGAACAAGAAUGACCUCUGUAUUGGGCAUAUCCGCAUAUGGCAAUUUGUCGACCAUCAUGGAACAGUUUGAUCAAGUUGAUGGCAUGCGUUUUUAGAGAAAGUUGAUGCAAUGCACUGGAAAUGUAAUGUUGUACUCCAAACAGAAUUGGGCAAGCCCUGAUAUGCUAUUCCGCCCUUUGCACAC
Molecule: small RNA, 623 nt
Filed under: Oryza sativa Japonica Group (Japanese rice)
Lineage: Eukaryota; Viridiplantae; Streptophyta; Magnoliopsida; Poales; Poaceae
Description: sRNA Os12g0636900
Source: RNAcentral